AGAGUUGAUCAUGGCUCAGGAUGAACGCUAGCGACAGGCUAACACAUGCAAGUCGAGGGCAGCAUAAAAGUAGCAAUACGUUGGUGGCGACCGGCGCACGGGUGAGUAACGCGUAUGCAACCUACCUAUCAGGAGGGGAAUAACCCGGCGAAAGUCGGACUAAUACCGCAUAAAACAGGGGCACCGCAUGGUGAUAUUUGUUAAAGAAAUUCGCUGAUAGAUGGGCAUGCGUUCCAUUAGGUAGUUGGUGAGGUAACGGCUCACCAAGCCGACGAUGGAUAGGGGAACUGAGAGGUUGGUCCCCCACACUGGUACUGAGACACGGACCAGACCCCUACGGGAGGCAGCAGUGAGGAAUAUUGGUCAAUGGGCGGGAGCCUGAACCAGCCAAGUCGCGUGAAGGAAAGAAGGAUCUAUGGUUCGUAAACUUCUUUUGCAGGGGAAUAAAGUGCAGGACGUGUCCUGUUUUGUAUGUACCCUGAGAAUAAGGAUCGGCUAACUCCGUGCCAGCAGCUGC
This 517-nucleotide ribosomal RNA is filed under the name uncultured bacterium. RNAcentral's name for it is "bacterial SSU rRNA". It matches the Rfam family "Bacterial small subunit ribosomal RNA", at positions 8 to 518 of the family's 1533-position model. The record is from RNAcentral.